RNAcentral lists this ribosomal RNA (464 nucleotides) under Vreelandella stevensii. RNAcentral describes it as "partial 16S ribosomal RNA". It matches the Rfam family "Bacterial small subunit ribosomal RNA", at positions 338 to 795 of the family's 1533-position model. The record is from RNAcentral. Lineage: Bacteria; Pseudomonadati; Pseudomonadota; Gammaproteobacteria; Oceanospirillales; Halomonadaceae.
CCUACGGGGGGCAGCAGUGGGGAAUAUUGGACAAUGGGGGCAACCCUGAUCCAGCCAUGCCGCGUGUGUGAAGAAGGCCCUCGGGUUGUAAAGCACUUUCAGUGAGGAAGAACGCCUGGUGGUUAAUACCCAUCAGGAAAGACAUCACUCACAGAAGAAGCACCGGCUAACUCCGUGCCAGCAGCCGCGGUAAUACGGAGGGUGCGAGCGUUAAUCGGAAUUACUGGGCGUAAAGCGCGCGUAGGUGGCUUGAUAAGCCGGUUGUGAAAGCCCCGGGCUCACCUGGGAACGGCAUCCGGAACUGUCAAGCUAGAGUGCAGGAGAGGAAGGUAGAAUUCCCGGUGUAGCGGUGAAAUGCGUAGAGAUCGGGAGGAAUACCAGUGGCGAAGGCGGCCUUCUGGACUGACACUGACACUGAGGUGCGAAAGCGUGGGUAACAAACAGGAUUAGAUACCCUUGUAGUC